GGGGGCGAAACGGCUUCGACGGGAUUGGAUUGGCGUCGGAAGGCGUGCCGGGUUCCGAGCUCCCGUAAAACGAUCGGGCCAAAAUAACUGCCAACGCGCAGUAUGCCUACGCUGCCUAAUUAGGUAGGCAGCCGUCCUGGUCGGCCUUGCCCGCGGGCGGGCCAAGGGCGUCGGUGAGCGGGCUGGGUCGAUGGCCUUCGGCCCGGAGGUCUGAGACCGAGAGCGAAUCGGGCUAGGCGGCUGUGACCCUUGCCGGUUCGGGGCCGGCUGCUGAGAUCAAUGAACCGGCUACGCACGUAGGCUUCCGGCGGUGACCAGUCUCGGACGCGGGUUCGACUCCCGCCGCCUCCACCA
This 354-nucleotide transfer-messenger RNA is filed under the name Bryobacteraceae. RNAcentral's name for it is "f Bryobacteraceae X1 Standard tmRNA". It matches the Rfam family "transfer-messenger RNA". From Rfam's summary of the family: Bacterial tmRNA, also known as 10Sa RNA or SsrA, is named for its dual tRNA and mRNA-like properties. Its role is to liberate the mRNA from a stalled ribosome. RNAcentral also lists the same sequence under 1 other name. Lineage: Bacteria; Pseudomonadati; Acidobacteriota; Terriglobia; Bryobacterales. The record is from RNAcentral.